Molecule: ribosomal RNA, 193 nt
Filed under: uncultured bacterium
Lineage: Bacteria
Description: partial 16S ribosomal RNA
Rfam family: Bacterial small subunit ribosomal RNA
Source: RNAcentral
ACGCUCGACACCUAGGAGGCAGCAGUGGGGAAUAUUGGGCAAUGGGCGCAAGCCUGACCCAGCAACGCCGCGUGAAGGAAGAAGGCUUUCGGGUUGUAAACUUCUUUUGUCAGGGAACAGUAGAAGAGGGUACCUGACGAAUAAGCCACGGCUAACUACGUGCCANGCGCCGAGUAUNGNGGCGGNGNGAGAG